RNAcentral lists this ribosomal RNA (484 nucleotides) under uncultured bacterium. RNAcentral describes it as "partial 16S ribosomal RNA". It matches the Rfam family "Bacterial small subunit ribosomal RNA", at positions 30 to 507 of the family's 1533-position model. The record is from RNAcentral.
AUUGAACGCUGGCGGCAGGCCUAACACAUGCAAGUCGAGCGGAUGAAGGGAGCUUGCUCCUGGAUUCAGCGGCGGACGGGUGAGUAAUGCCUAGGAAUCUGCCUGGUAGUGGGGGAUAACGUCCUGAAACGGGCGCUAAUACCGCCUACGUCCUGCGGGAGCAAGUGGGGGAUGUUCGGACCUCACGCUAUCAGAUGAGCCUAGGUCGGAUUAGCUAGUUGGUGGGGUAAAGGCCUACCAAGGCGACGAUCCGUAACUGGUCUGAGAGGAUGAUCAGUCACACUGGAGCUGAGACACGGUCCAGGGUCCUACGGGAGGGAGCAGUGGGGAAUAGUGGACAAUGGGCGAAAGUCUGAUCCAGCCAUGCCGCGUGUGUGAAGAAGGUCUUCGGAGUGUAAAGCACUUUAAGUUGGGAGGAAGGGCAGUCAGUUAAGACCUUGCUGGUUUGACGUUACCAACAGAAUAAGCACCGGCUAACUACGUG